ACGCGUGGGUAACCUGCCUCAUACAGGGGGAUAGCAGUUGGAAAACGACUGGUAAAACCGCAUAAGCGCACGGUGUCGCAUGACACAGUGUGAAAACACUCCGGUGGUAUGAGAUGGACCCGCGUCUGAUUAGCUAGUUGGUGAGGUAACGGCCCACCAAGGCGACGAUCAGUAGCCGGCCUGAGAGGGUGAACGGCCACAUUGGGACUGAGACACGGCCCAA
This 223-nucleotide ribosomal RNA is filed under the name uncultured bacterium. RNAcentral's name for it is "partial 16S ribosomal RNA". It matches the Rfam family "Bacterial small subunit ribosomal RNA", at positions 113 to 334 of the family's 1533-position model. The record is from RNAcentral.